Long non-coding RNA from Contarinia nasturtii (swede midge), 842 nucleotides. RefSeq lists it as uncharacterized. NCBI's taxonomy places the organism in Eukaryota, Metazoa, Arthropoda, Insecta, Diptera, Cecidomyiidae. The transcript is spliced from 4 exons. The record is from RefSeq and is a predicted model, not a curated record.
UGGAAAAAUUUACAAAAAGCAGCGGAUUGGUUUUAGUGGUACUUUUAACGAUAUAGACCUCAACAAAUUCAAUUCCUUAUGAAUACAGAUGUGAUUAUGAGUUCUUCGAAUAUCCUAAUUGUACUACAAGCCAUUACCAGCUCACCACGAAUCAAACAAUAACGGCUAACAGUCCGGGUUUUCCACCCUAUGGAUUUCCAGUGCCAAGUAAAUGUCAUUUUACUGUAGCAGCACCAAUUUCUCAUUUUUUGGCCGUUACAUGUGACAUUUUUAUUGGGGUAAAAGAAAAAUUCAAAUAACUUGUUGACACAAAUAUAAUUUUAUACUACCGAAAAUGUAUGGGUCACGUCAUUUGACUGUGAUCCAGAUGACAGCUUCUUCAUUAAUUCCGCUGGAAUAUAUCCGGAAUGUAUACGUCGUAAAUAUUGUGGCUUAAAUGAAGUAAUAUCAUUUAACACGACGUAUAAUAACAUGACUAUUGCAUAUAGAUCAACUAAAUACUCUGGAUUUUACUCAUGUAAUAUCACGGCAAUGCCGAAAGCUACACCGAAAGGGUCCGACAGUCAAGUUUAACAGAGCUCAAAUCGUACUUUAAUUUAAUAUAGAUAUAUUCAAGUGACACAAAAAAAAAGAAUAUGGUAUCGAGAUGGCCCAGUAUUUCAGAAAAUUUUAAAAGUGCUCCAAAUUCGUUAAUCGAGAAAACUUGGAAUUCUUUCGGCGGGUACCACCGAUCGACUUAAGGAUGAAACAAAAUCGACAAACAUGUUAUUUUUCAUGCAUUUCACCGAACCGGAUGGGGAAUCUCGAUACCAUAAACACUCUUUAAUGUAACAAAUAAUAAA